CAACCUCAACUCAUAUGGGACUACCCCCUGAAUUUAAGCAUAUUAAUUAGGGGAGGAAAAGAAACUAACAAGGAUUUUCUUAGUAGCGGCGAGCGAAAAGAAAUCAGUUCAGCACUAAGUCACUUUGUCUAUAUGGCAAAUGUGAGAUGCAGUGUACGGAACAUCAACAUUCUAGUAUGAGAAGUUAACGAUUUAAGUCCUUCUUAAAUGAGGCCAUUUACCCAUAGAGGGUGCCAGGCCCGUAUAACGUUAAUGAUUACUAGAUGGUGUUUCCAAAGAGUCGUGUUGCUUGAUAGUGCAGCACUAAGUGGGUGGUAAACUCCAUCUAAAACUAAAUAUAACCAUGAGACCGAUAGUAAACAAGUACCGUGAGGGAAAGUUGAAAAGAACUCUGAAUAGAGAGUUAAAUAGUACG
This is a non-coding RNA of Drosophila virilis, 415 nucleotides long. NCBI's taxonomy places the organism in Eukaryota, Metazoa, Arthropoda, Insecta, Diptera, Drosophilidae. The record is from Rfam.